GGUCAUUGUCAUAACCAGAGAAGUGGAUCCUGCCCCCCGGGAGCAGCUUUGCUGGAGGACUCACACCAAUCUUCAUGAACUUUCUUUUGUGGGGUUUCUUGAGUUCCAGCAGGGCGUAGUCAUAAUCCAUGCCGAUGUCAUUGGCAUUGCCCUUGAUCCACCCCUUGGGCACAUGGGUGCGCUUCACACGGAUCCACUGAAACUUCAUCUUAUCUGGCAUGGCUGGGCUCGAGCUGUUGUUCCCUCCGGCACCAUCUUUAUACUUGGGCUUCAGGAAGCCCACUCGGAGUUUCUGUGUCCCUUUCACAUAGGUUUUCCCAUCGUGUAUGCAGUGGGCAGCAGUGAGGACGUGCUUCUCAGCCACCAGGGUGCCGGUGCAGCCAGUAGACAACUUCACCGAUGUGGAGAAAGGAUAGUUGAGCAGGAAGUCCUUCCCGAAAAUGCUAAACCUGCCAUCGUAACCGUAAAUCUGCCUCUUCCUGCGAGAUCUCCCUGUGCCCUCCGAGUCUCUGCCUUGUGCCCUGCCUUCACCACUGCUGAGGACGUAGAUGCCCACUCGAGUCUCUGUGCGGCUGCCAUUGGCGUAAAGGGUUUCAUAGGAAAGGUACUGCUUGGCCUCUUCGUAGGUGGGCAGUGGUGUUCCCUUGUGACACUGGGGUCCACACGAGGAGGACACCUCCAAUUUCGCUUUGGCGUCAAAGUCUGCCUUAGCUAAGUUGAGGGUAGACUGAGGCAAGACUACAGGGAGGCGGUAAGCCGGCCAUGUGGGUUUCCACGGAACGGUGUAAGGACUCACCUGCAUGAACACACAGAGCAGGACAAGAAGGAUGAAGAGCCCUGGGAUUCCAGCCAUGCUGAGUGCUACUGUAGAAACAAAGACAAGGAGUCAGGAGGACAAAAGCUACACAGGUCAUUUACUGCAGCCCGGCAGGGCACAGCCGCACGCUGGUCAUGCUUCUAAGACUGGGAACAUUCCUCAGGUUCCCAGCGAGAGAAUCCCUCAGGUAAUGGUCUCACUUACAUGCAAGGACUUGCUUGACCUUAGGAUCAUUUCCACACCUCAGUCCCAAAUGAAGCUGGUUUUUUUUUUUUUUUUUUCCUUCAUGCUUAAGAAGUAAAGACCAUGAGACAUUACAGGGCCACAUCUAGAAAAUUUACCACUCUUCUGUGACCAUAUGGCCAGCACUCAUUUUUUAUGAGGUUUUUGAAUGUUCUUUUUACUUGAUUCUAUAUACCUUGUCCUCUCCUGUCUAGCUAUCCACCCACUCCUGGCCCCUUUCCUUCCUUCUUAUCUUAUUCUAUUACAAUAAGUUCUUACAUAAUUUUCUGGGCAACAUGCUCACUUAGAUAAUAAAUCUAAAUCAGACACUUU
This 1372-nucleotide long non-coding RNA is filed under the name Mus pahari (shrew mouse). RNAcentral's name for it is "lncRNA (MGP_PahariEiJ_G0002183.1)". Lineage: Eukaryota; Metazoa; Chordata; Mammalia; Rodentia; Muridae. The record is from RNAcentral.